Molecule: ribosomal RNA, 445 nt
Filed under: uncultured bacterium
Lineage: Bacteria
Description: SSU rRNA
Rfam family: Bacterial small subunit ribosomal RNA
Source: RNAcentral
AGAACGAACGCUGGCGGCAGGCUUAACACAUGCAAGUCGAACGCUCGUAGCAAUACGGGAGUGGCAGACGGGUGAGUAACGCGUGGGAACAUACCCUCCGGUUCGGAAUAGCUCAGGGAAACUUGGAUUAAUACCGGAUACGGCUGAGAGGCGAAAGAUUUAUCGCCGGAGGAUUGGCCCGCGUUCGAUUAGCUUGUUGGUGAGGUAACGGCUCACCAAGGCGAUGAUCGAUAGCUGGUCUGAGAGGAUGAUCAGCCACAUUGGGACUGAGACACGGCCCAAACUCCUACGGGAGGCAGCAGUGGGAAUAUUGGACAAUGGGCGCAAGCCUGAUCCAGCCAUGCCGCGUGAGUGAUGACGGCCUUAGGGUUGUAAAGCUCUUUCGCUCGGGACGAUAAUGACGGUACCGAGAUAAGAGCCCGGCUAACUUCGCGCCAGCAGCCGC